AUGAACGCUGGCGGCGUGCCUAAUACAUGCAAGUCGAGCGAACAGACGAGGAGCUUGCUCCUUCGACGUUAGCGGCGGACGGGUGAGUAACACGUAGGUAACCUACCUAUAAGACUGGGAUAACUUCGGGAAACCGGAGCUAAUACCGGAUAAUAUUUCGAACCGCAUGGUUCGAUAGUGAAAGAUGGCUUUGCUAUCACUUAUAGAUGGACCUGCGCCGUAUUAGCUAGUUGGUAAGGUAACGGCUUACCAAGGCAACGAUACGUAGCCGACCUGAGAGGGUGAUCGGCCACACUGGAACUGAGACACGGUCCAGACUCCUACGGGAGGCAGCAGUAGGGAAUCUUCCGCAAUGGGCGAAAGCCUGACGGAGCAACGCCGCGUGAGUGAUGAAGGUCUUCGGAUCGUAAAACUCUGUUAUUAGGGAAGAACAAACGUGUAGGUAACUGUGCACGUCUUGACGGUACCUAAUCAGAAAGCCACGGCUAACUACGUG
RNAcentral lists this ribosomal RNA (496 nucleotides) under uncultured bacterium. RNAcentral's name for it is "partial 16S ribosomal RNA". It matches the Rfam family "Bacterial small subunit ribosomal RNA", at positions 29 to 507 of the family's 1533-position model. The record is from RNAcentral.